UCGAGCGCGAAAGGGGGGGUAACUCCCCGAGUAGAGCGGCGAACGGGUGAGUAACGCGUGGGUGAUCUACCUUCGAGUGGGGAAUAACAGCGGGAAACUGCUGCUAAUACCGCAUGACAUCCCCGGGUCGCAUCGGGGAUCAAAGCCGGGGACCGCAAGGCCUGGCGCUUGAAGAUGAGCCCGCGUCCGAUUAGCUAGUUGGCGGGGUAAUGGCCCACCAAGGCGACGAUCGGUAGCCGGCCUGAGAGGGCGGACGGCCACACUGGGACUGCGACACGGCCCAGACUCCUACGGGAGGCAGCAGUGGGGAAUUUUUCGCAAUGGGGGAAACCCUGACGAAGCAACGCCGCGUGAAGGAUGAAGGCCUUCGGGUCGUAAACUCCUGUCGACCGGGACGAACGUAGUCGGGUCCAAUACACCCGGCUAUCGACUGUACCGGUAGAGGAAGCCACGGCUAACUCUGUGCCAGCAGCCGCGGUAAUACAGAGGUGGCAAGCGUUGUUCGGAAUUACUGGGCGUAAAGGGCGCGUAGGCGGUCCGAUAAGUCCCGUGUGAAAUCCCUCGGCUCAACUGAGGAAUGGCACGGGAAACUGACGGGCUUGAGUUCGGGAGAGGGAAGCGGAAUUCCGGGUGUAGCGGUGAAAUGCGUAGAUAUCCGGAGGAACACGGGUGGCGAAGGCGGCUUCCUGGACCGACACUGACGCUGAGGCGCGAAAGCUAGGGGAGCAAACGGGAUUAGAUACCCCGGUAGUCCUAGC
Molecule: ribosomal RNA, 758 nt
Filed under: uncultured bacterium
Lineage: Bacteria
Description: bacterial SSU rRNA
Rfam family: Bacterial small subunit ribosomal RNA
Source: RNAcentral